CACAAUAGCGAUACCUUUUAGUGCCCCCUCACAGUAAUAAUGCCCCUUUAGUGCACCCCACACAAUAGUUAUAGUCCUUAAUGCCAACAGACAUUAAUGGCCCCCUUAGUUCCCCCCUCACAGUAGUGAUACCCCUUAGUGCCCAGACAGUAAAGAUGCCCCUUUAGUGCCCCCUAACAAUAAUGAUAACUUUUAGUGCCCCCAGACAGUAUGCCCCUCUAGUGCCCCCUCACAAUAGUGAUAGUUCUUAGUGCCCCCGACAGUAAUGAUGCCCCUUAGUGCCACCUCACAUUAGUGAAGCCCCCUUAGUGCCCCCCACACAUAAUAUAAAGAUGUCUCCUAAUGCCUCUCCCUCAACAUAGUAUGAUCCCCUUCCCCCCAGAGCUUCCAAAAUGAACGUUCAUGUAAUCCGCAACGAGCAAAGCAGAUCACUUGGUGCAGGUGGGCUGCGGUCUGUGCUGUCAGCGUUGGCAUCACUGCAGGGCUGGCAGGGUGUGCCCCUCUUAUACUUGGCAGCAGUAACCGGUACAAAGGUCUUAAAGGGGUUGUGCAAGAAUGGGGGGGGGGUCAAACCAGAUGUUGACAGCGAGGGAGCCAGUGGAGCAUCACGGCCAGGGAGGAGAAGAAACGGGGAGCCAGUGCCGGGAAACAGAUUUGAAGCAGUGGAAGAGACAAGUGAAUAUUCAUGACAUUUGGAUUUUUAGAGGAAAAAGAUCGGCUUCUCUUCUUUCUUCUUCUUUGAUGACCUGGG
Bufo gargarizans (Asiatic toad) is the source of this 751-nucleotide long non-coding RNA. RefSeq lists it as uncharacterized. The record is from RefSeq and is a predicted model, not a curated record. The transcript is spliced from 3 exons. NCBI's taxonomy places the organism in Eukaryota, Metazoa, Chordata, Amphibia, Anura, Bufonidae.